Molecule: RNA transcript, 3489 nt
Organism: Populus euphratica (Euphrates poplar)
Lineage: Eukaryota; Viridiplantae; Streptophyta; Magnoliopsida; Malpighiales; Salicaceae
Gene name: probable disease resistance protein At4g27220
Exons: 4
Source: RefSeq, a predicted model, not a curated record
CUGAAAUUAGAAUUGCGUUUAGCUGGGGUUGUCUGCUAGGGCUACAUCCUUUUCACAUCAGCCUGCAUCUGUCUUUCCCAAUUCGUACUUUCCCUUCAGUUGCAGUGCUUGCUUCCUUGUUUUUUUCAUAUUUAUAAUCAGAUCGUUCUGGAAAUCAUCCUCUUAAGUUUGGACACAAUCUGUAUCAGUACAGAAUUGAAGAUAAGAGAGGAAGUUUGGUGCUAUGUAACCUGUCUAUGCUCCUCUGUUUCUGUUCUAAUUAACGUCUUCCAAGUUACAUCACCUUAUCGGCCGGCACGGGACACUAAAGUACGAGGAGAAAAUGGUUUUAUCAGAUGAUCAAUUCCAGGCCUAUGUUGAGGAGAAUGAUGUUGGUAAGAAGAAGUGUAAGUUCUGCGGGCAUCUAUUUGCGUUUCGUACUUCGAUUUCAAGGAUCAAAUGGCACUGGUCAGGUACUAAAGGGCACGGUGCUGCGAUUUGUAGAGAAGUGCCUAAGGAUGUUCAAGAAGCAGCCUUUCUAGCUAUGGAGGGUGUCAACAAAAAAUGUAGAAUUAGAGCUGACUGGUUAAUUAAUGUAGAUAACAAGACAGAUAGAUUAGUGAAGCCUGUUGCGGAAGCUAGCUCUUCUGGUGGCCAUACACCCAACAAAAGUGAUGCUAGAGAAAAUGCGGUACCCACUAGCUCUUCAGAGGUAGCGGGUAAAGCAUUUGAAGAGAAUAAGGAUGCCAUCUUGUCUUGGUUAAUGAAUGAUGAAGUCUUACGCAUUGGCAUUUAUGGGAUGGGAGGUGUGGGUAAAACUUCGCUGGUGAAACAUGUUUACCAUCAACUUAGAAAAACAUCAGGCACUUUUCAUCAUGUUUACUGGAUCACUAUACCUCAAGAUUUUAGCAUUUGUAAAUUGCAGAAUCUUAUUGCUACAUGUCUAGGUAUACAUCUUUCAAAUGAAGACGACGAGAUCCUAAGAGCCCAGGAACUUUCAGAAGCAUUUGUAAUGAAAUGGCAGCAUUUACUCAUUUUGGACAAUCUGUGGGACACUUUUGAUCCAGAGAAGGUGGGAAUUCCUGUCCAAGAGAAGGGAUGCAAGUUGAUUCUUACAACUAGAUCAUUAAAAGUUUGUCGAGGGAUGGGCUGCCUGCAAAAAAUCAAAGUGGAGCCUCUGCCUUGGGAAGAAGCUUGGACUUUGUUUAGAGAGAGAUUUACACAUGAUGUAGUAAUUUCUCCAGAAGUUGAGCAAAUUGCAAAAUCUGUUACAAGGAAAUGUGCUGGUUUACCUUUGGGAAUUAUUACAAUGGCAGAAAGCAUGAGGGGUGUGAGUGACCUGCAUGAGUGGAGGAAUACAUUGGAGAAAUUGAAAAAAUCUAAAGUUAGGGACAUGAAAGAUAAGGUAUUUCCGUCAUUGAGGUUUAGCUAUGACCAGUUAGGUGAUUUAGCACAACAGCAAUGUUUCUUAUACUGUGCGUUAUUUCCAGAAGAUUAUGGGAUUAGCAGGGAGGACUUGAUAGGUUAUUUGAUUGAUGAGGGAAUAAUUGAAGGGAUUGAUAGCAGGCAAGCAGAAUUUGAUGAGGGCCAUACGAUGCUCAAUGAACUUGAAAAUGUCUGUUUGUUGGAAAGUUCUAAUGAUUAUAAUGGUUAUAGAGCUGUCAGGAUGCAUGGCUUGAUUAGGGACAUGGCCUGCCAAAUCCUGCAAAUGAGCUCUCCAAUCAUGGUUGGCGAAGAAUUACGAGAUGUGGAUAAGUGGAAAGAGGUUCUUACAAGAGUGUCCUGGAUAAAUGGUAAAUUCAAAGAAAUUCCUUCUAGCCAUUCACCAAGGUGUCCCAUUCUUUCAACCUUGUUGUUACCCUAUAAUUACACUUUGAGAUUUAUUGCGUAUUCUUUUUUCAAGCAUUUGAACAAGCUCAAGGUUCUUGAUCUGUCCAAGACAAAUAUUGAAUUAUUGCCAGAUUCUGUCUCUGAUUUGGAGAAUCUUAGUGCAUUAUUGCUCAAUGGUUGUGAGCGGCUAAGGCAUGUGCCAUCAUUAAAAAAGCUUAGGCUACUGAAGAGGUUGGAUCUCAGUGAUACCGUUCUUGUAGAUGUGCCUCAAGACAUGGAAUGGCUAUCCAACCUCAGGUAUCUUAAACUCAAUGGAUGUAGUCAAAAGGAGUUUCCUCCUGGAAUAUUACCUCAACUUUAUCGCCUGCAGUUCUUUGCACUAGAUGAUUGGGUGCAGGGACAAUAUGCUCCAGUAACAGUUGAAGGAAAGGAAGUAGCAUGCUUGAGGAAGUUGGAAACUUUGGAAUGCCAUUUUGAAUGUUUCUCUGACUUCAUAGGGUAUCUCAAAUCUUGGGAUGGGACCCUAUCACUAAGUACAUACAAAUUUUUAGUAGGACAAUGGAAUGAUAACAAAGACUAUUUACGUGUAUUGGAAUUUUCUGGAAGAAGUAGAAAAGUAUGUAUAUGUAACUUCAAUAUCAACUGGAAUCGAAGUUCUCCAUUUUUCCCAUGUGACAUUCAAGAACUGUUGAUUUUGAGAUGCACUGAUGCAGGAAGUUUAUGCGACGUCUUAUCAAUACAGUAUGCAAUUGAACUAGAGUGCAUUGAAAUUCAGCUGUGUGAUAGAAUGGAGAGCUUGCUUUCAUCUUCUUGGUUCUGCUCUGCACCAUUACCGCUGCCAUCUGAUGGUAUAUUUUCUCAUCUCAAAGACUUCCAUUGUUAUGGGUGUUCAAGCAUGAAAAAGCUGUUCCCUCUUGCCUUGCUGCGAAACCUAGCAAACCUGGAAAUGAUUUCGGUCGAGGAAUGUCACAAAAUGGAGGAGAUAAUAGCAACAAGGGUAGACUGGGUUGUGGGUGAAGAAAGCAGCAGUAGCUGUAGUUCCAGAGAAUUCGAUCUCCCAAACUUAAGACGUCUCAACUUUGUUUAUUUGCCAAAACUGAAAAGUAUAUGUUGUGCCAAAUUGAUUUGCGGUUCUCUCCAAAAGAUCAGAGUGAGAGAUUGUCCGAAGCUAAAGAGGAUACCAAUCUGCCUUCCCGUGCUUGACAAUGGCCAGCUAUGUCCCCCCCCAUCUCUUGAAGAAAUCGAUGUAGAUCCAAAAGAAUGGUGGGAGUCGGUGGAGUGGGACCAUCCUAACACUAAGGAUGUACUUCUUCCUUUUGUAGUUUUAGGUGAUAGUUCCAGAGUCUCAGACUGCUUGAAGAAGAUGAAGACCAAGGAAGAAACAUAAGAAAAACGUUUUUGAAGAGAAGUUUUACUGGCAAGCCUUUUUUAGUCUUUACUUGUCCUCUUCAUAUAUUUUUCAUACCACCCUUUAUGGCUUUUAACCCCUCUCUUUCUCUCAACGUAAAUCACUCACCCACUUUUUAGGAUCCAAUACCCUUUGAAUGCUGAUGCUGGAUCAAUUUUCACGGAGCACCUACUAUUUCAGAAACCGGUAUAUUGUAGCGUGCAUUUUCCUGUAUUUCAUGCCGUUUCUACUCUCUUUUGUCCCCAAGAAAUACUGUGAUGGUUGUAAUUUCA